This 73-nucleotide transfer RNA is filed under the name Necator americanus (New World hookworm). It matches the Rfam family "tRNA". Rfam says of the family: Transfer RNA (tRNA) molecules are approximately 80 nucleotides in length. Lineage: Eukaryota; Metazoa; Nematoda; Chromadorea; Rhabditida; Ancylostomatidae. The record is from Rfam by way of RNAcentral.
UCUUCUGUGGCGCAAAGGACAGCCCGUUCGACUGUUAACCGAAAGGGUGGUGGUUCCACUCCACUCGGGAGGG